RNAcentral lists this ribosomal RNA (534 nucleotides) under uncultured archaeon. RNAcentral's name for it is "bacterial SSU rRNA". It matches the Rfam family "Archaeal small subunit ribosomal RNA", at positions 461 to 997 of the family's 1478-position model. The record is from RNAcentral.
GACGCCGCGGUAACACCGGCAGCUCUAGUGGUAACAAUUUUAUUGGGCCUAAAGCGUCCGUAGCCGGUUUAAUAAGUCUCUGGUGAAAUCCUGCAGCUUAACUGUGGGAAUUGCUGGAGAUAUAUUAGACUUGAGACCGGGAGAGGUUAGAGGUACUCCCAGGGUAGAGGUGAAAUUCUGUAAUCCUGGGAGGACCGCCUGUUGCGAAGGCGUCUAACUGGAACGGUUCUGACGGUGAGGGACGAAAGUUAGGGGCGCGAACCGGAUUAGAUACCCGGGUAGUCCUAACUGUAAACGAUGCGGACUUGGUGUUGGGUGGCUUUGAGCUGCUUCAGUGCCGAAGGGAAGCUGUUAAGUCCGCCGCCUGGGAAGUACGGUCGCAAGACUGAAACUUAAGGAAUUGGCGGGGGAGCACCACAACGCGUGGAGCCUGCCGGUUUAAUUGGAUUCAACGCCGGACAUCUCACCAGAGGCGACAGCUGUAUGAUAGCCAGGUUGAUGACUUUGCUUGACUAGCUGAGGAGUGGUGCAUGG